CAGGUAUUGACAGGUGAGAACACUAUGGACAGCAUCUGUGGCACCCCAUGACACUAUUACUCUGGGGAACCAUGCUCCAGAGCUGCAGACUGGAGGGGGCUUGGAAUAAUUCUCGACUAGCUCGUGGUUGGAGCAGACCCCUUCUCUGGAGACGACACUGAGAUCAUGGGAGAGAGUGGGCAGGUCCGAUGCCCCAAAUCCUUCUCAGCAGAGGCAACCUCCAUAAUGACCGGGUGAGAGGAGAGGGAAAGCUCGUGUCUGGUGAGUGACUCUGAAAGAGAGAGGUGCCAUACUACCUGAGGCAUCAUCAGAGCUCAGAACCCAGUGACAAUCCCUAGUGUGAGUAUCCUGAGCCUUCUGUUCUAAGCAAUGUAUCAAGGGUGGAAGAAAGGCACUUGAGAAGAAUGCCAAUACAACAGUCUGUCCCUGGAAAAGAUAUUUCUUUUUCAACCUCCCCUGAGUCUAUUCUAUCUUUGGCACAGAAGCACUGUCAGUAUAACCUCUCCCCAUCACGCUCUUUCUUCCAAAAAA
This is a long non-coding RNA of Mauremys mutica (yellowpond turtle), 531 nucleotides long. RefSeq lists it as uncharacterized. The transcript has 4 exons. The record is from RefSeq and is a predicted model, not a curated record. Lineage: Eukaryota; Metazoa; Chordata; Testudines; Geoemydidae.